GGUUUGUGGCUCAGUGGUAGAGCACUUGCCUAGCAUGUGUGAGGCACUCAGCACCACAUAUAAAAAAAUAGAUAAUAAAGAUCCAUCAAUAACAAAAAUAUUUUUAAAAAGAAGGAAAAUUCUUUUCUUUACUAAAGAAAAAAGUCUUUAGUACAAACCUUAUUACAAACUG
This 172-nucleotide transfer RNA is filed under the name Marmota monax (woodchuck). Its description in RNAcentral is "tRNA.Ala". Lineage: Eukaryota; Metazoa; Chordata; Mammalia; Rodentia; Sciuridae. The record is from RNAcentral.